GACGAACGCUGGCGGCGCGCUUAACACAUGCAAGUCGAACGGAAAGGCCUGCUUUCCCUUGUGGAUUGCGGGUACUCGAGUGGCGAACGGGUGAGUAACACGUGAGUGAUCUGCCCCCAACUUGGGUAUAAGCCUGGGAAACUGGGUCUAAUUCCCGAUAGGACUGCAGGGUGGUGCCUGUGGUGGAAAACGAUUUUCUAGUGGUUGGGGAUGAGCUCGCGGCCUAUCAGCUUGUUGGUGGGGUAAUGGCCUACCAAGGCGGCGACGGGUAGCCGGCCUGGGAGGGUGGACGGCCACAUUGGGACUGAGAUACGGCCCAGACUCCUACGGGAGGAAGCAGUGGGGAAUAUUGCACAAUGGGCGGAAGCCUGAUGCAGCGACGCCGCGUGGGGGAUGACGGCCUUCGGGUUGUAAACUCCUUUCGACCGCGAGGAAGCCACCUGGUUGGAAGGGUGGUGACGGUAGUGGUAGAAGAAGCACCGGCUAACUACGUG
This 494-nucleotide ribosomal RNA is filed under the name uncultured bacterium. RNAcentral describes it as "partial 16S ribosomal RNA". It matches the Rfam family "Bacterial small subunit ribosomal RNA", at positions 28 to 507 of the family's 1533-position model. The record is from RNAcentral.